This is a non-coding RNA of Camellia sinensis, 283 nucleotides long. NCBI's taxonomy places the organism in Eukaryota, Viridiplantae, Streptophyta, Magnoliopsida, Ericales, Theaceae. The record is from RefSeq and is a predicted model, not a curated record.
AAUGUUGUUAAUGGGGUAAUUUUUUGUUUAACAUUUUUAUUGGUGUUUCAUAUUUUAAGCUAAUUUUAAAACUUGACCUUCAUUAUCUACAUGAUUGUUGCUUUUCUGCACUUGGUUUUGCAGCAAGCUCUGACUCUGGUUUUUGUGGAGACGAAGAAAGGAGCUGAUUCACUGGAACAUUGGUUGUGUAUGAAUGGGUUUCCUGCUACUACCAUUCAUGGUGACAGAACACAGCAGAGCAUUAUUUACAACUCUCGCUCGCAGAUUCGAAACAACCAUGCAA